UACGUAGGGGGCGAGCGUUGUCCGGAGUUACUGGGCGUAAAGGGCAUGCAGGCGGUCGGACGCGUUUCGGGUGACAGCGGGUGGCUUAACUACCCGAGUGGUCGAAAGACGGUUUGACUUGAGGACGCGAGAGGGACACGGAAUUCCGGGUGGAGUGGUGAAAUGCGUAGAUAUCUGGAGGAACACCGGUGGCGAAGGCGGCAUCCUGGACCGACAUUGACGCUGAGGCGCGAAAGCCAGGGGAGCAAACGGG
RNAcentral lists this ribosomal RNA (253 nucleotides) under uncultured bacterium. Its description in RNAcentral is "partial 16S ribosomal RNA". It matches the Rfam family "Bacterial small subunit ribosomal RNA", at positions 524 to 776 of the family's 1533-position model. The record is from RNAcentral.